This 253-nucleotide ribosomal RNA is filed under the name uncultured bacterium. RNAcentral's name for it is "partial 16S ribosomal RNA". It matches the Rfam family "Bacterial small subunit ribosomal RNA", at positions 524 to 776 of the family's 1533-position model. The record is from RNAcentral.
CACGUAGGGCGCAAGCGUUGUCCGGAAUUAUUGGGCGUAAAGAGCUCGUAGGCGGUCUGUUGCGUCCGCUGUGAAAACCCGGGGCUUAACCCUGGGCUGGCAGUGGAUACGGACAGACUAGAGUUAGGUAGGGGAGAAUGGAAUUCCCGGUGUAGCGGUGAAAUGCGCAGAUAUCAGGAAGAACACCCGUGGCGAAGGCGGCUCUCUGGGACGGUACUGACGCUGAGACGCGAAAGCGUGGGGAGCGAACAGG